GCGAGAGUGGCGGAACUGGCAGACGCGCAAGACUUAGGAUCUUGUGGGUAAACCGUGGGGGUUCAAGUCCCCCCUCUCGCACCA
This 84-nucleotide transfer RNA is filed under the name Nitrospirota bacterium. RNAcentral's name for it is "tRNA-Leu". It matches the Rfam family "tRNA". From Rfam's summary of the family: Transfer RNA (tRNA) molecules are approximately 80 nucleotides in length. Their secondary structure includes four short double-helical elements and three loops (D, anti-codon, and T loops). Lineage: Bacteria; Pseudomonadati; Nitrospirota. The record is from RNAcentral. RNAcentral also lists the same sequence under 2 other names.